RNAcentral lists this ribosomal RNA (164 nucleotides) under Nymphaea alba. RNAcentral's name for it is "5.8S ribosomal RNA". It matches the Rfam family "5.8S ribosomal RNA". Rfam says of the family: 5.8S ribosomal RNA (5.8S rRNA) is a component of the large subunit of the eukaryotic ribosome. It is transcribed by RNA polymerase I as part of the 45S precursor that also contains 18S and 28S rRNA. Lineage: Eukaryota; Viridiplantae; Streptophyta; Magnoliopsida; Nymphaeales; Nymphaeaceae. The record is from RNAcentral.
AGCAAGAACGACUCUCGGCAACGGAUAUCUUGGCUCCCGCAUCGAUGAAGAACGCAGCGAAAUGCGAUAGUUGGUGUGAAUUGCAGAAUCCCGUGAAUCAUCGAGUUUUUGAACGCAAGUUGCGCCCGAGGCCAUUCGGCCAAGGGCACGUCUGCCUGGGCGUC